This 1438-nucleotide ribosomal RNA is filed under the name uncultured Serratia sp. RNAcentral describes it as "16S ribosomal RNA". It matches the Rfam family "Bacterial small subunit ribosomal RNA". The record is from RNAcentral. Lineage: Bacteria; Pseudomonadati; Pseudomonadota; Gammaproteobacteria; Enterobacterales; Yersiniaceae.
GGCAGGCUUAACACAUGCAAGUCGAGCGGUAGCACAGGGGAGCUUGCUCCCUGGGUGACGAGCGGCGGACGGGUGAGUAAUGUCUGGGAAACUGCCUGAUGGAGGGGGAUAACUACUGGAAACGGUAGCUAAUACCGCAUAACGUCGCAAGACCAAAGAGGGGGACCUUCGGGCCUCUUGCCAUCAGAUGUGCCCAGAUGGGAUUAGCUAGUAGGUGGGGUAAUGGCUCACCUAGGCGACGAUCCCUAGCUGGUCUGAGAGGAUGACCAGCCACACUGGAACUGAGACACGGUCCAGACUCCUACGGGAGGCAGCAGUGGGGAAUAUUGCACAAUGGGCGCAAGCCUGAUGCAGCCAUGCCGCGUGUGUGAAGAAGGCCUUCGGGUUGUAAAGCACUUUCAGCGAGGAGGAAGGUGGUGAGCUUAAUACGCUCAUCAAUUGACGUUACUCGCAGAAGAAGCACCGGCUAACUCCGUGCCAGCAGCCGCGGUAAUACGGAGGGUGCAAGCGUUAAUCGGAAUUACUGGGCGUAAAGCGCACGCAGGCGGUUUGUUAAGUCAGAUGUGAAAUCCCCGGGCUCAACCUGGGAACUGCAUUUGAGACUGGCAAGCUAGAGUCUCGUAGAGGGGGGUAGAAUUCCAGGUGUAGCGGUGAAAUGCGUAGAGAUCUGGAGGAAUACCGGUGGCGAAGGCGGCCCCCUGGACGAAGACUGACGCUCAGGUGCGAAAGCGUGGGGAGCAAACAGGAUUAGAUACCCUGGUAGUCCACGCUGUAAACGAUGUCGAUUUGGAGGUUGUGCCCUUGAGGCGUGGCUUCCGGAGCUAACGCGUUAAAUCGACCGCCUGGGGAGUACGGCCGCAAGGUUAAAACUCAAAUGAAUUGACGGGGGCCCGCACAAGCGGUGGAGCAUGUGGUUUAAUUCGAUGCAACGCGAAGAACCUUACCUACUCUUGACAUCCAGAGAACUUAGCAGAGAUGCUUUGGUGCCUUCGGGAACUCUGAGACAGGUGCUGCAUGGCUGUCGUCAGCUCGUGUUGUGAAAUGUUGGGUUAAGUCCCGCAACGAGCGCAACCCUUAUCCUUUGUUGCCAGCGGUUCGGCCGGGAACUCAAAGGAGACUGCCAGUGAUAAACUGGAGGAAGGUGGGGAUGGCGUCAAGUCAUCAUGGCCCUUACGAGUAGGGCUACACACGUGCUACAAUGGCGUAUACAAAGAGAAGCGACCUCGCGAGAGCAAGCGGACCUCAUAAAGUACGUCGUAGUCCGGAUUGGAGUCUGCAACUCGACUCCAUGAAGUCGGAAUCGCUAGUAAUCGUAGAUCAGAAUGCUACGGUGAAUACGUUCCCGGGCCUUGUACACACCGCCCGUCACACCAUGGGAGUGGGUUGCAAAAGAAGUAGGUAGCUUAACCUUCGGGAGGGCGCUUACCACUUUGUGAUU